Molecule: small nucleolar RNA, 229 nt
Filed under: Pogona vitticeps (central bearded dragon)
Lineage: Eukaryota; Metazoa; Chordata; Lepidosauria; Squamata; Agamidae
Description: Small nucleolar RNA SNORA73 family (ENSPVIG00000007743.1)
Rfam family: Small nucleolar RNA SNORA73 family
About the family: U17 (SNORA73A and SNORA73B) also known as E1 belongs to the H/ACA class of small nucleolar RNAs (snoRNAs). Vertebrate U17 is intron-encoded and ranges in length from 200-230 nucleotides, longer than most snoRNAs.
Source: Rfam by way of RNAcentral
CUAACAUGGGCAUCCAGCGAGGUGGCUCUCGCUUGGCUCUGCCCAAGUGGUGUGCGGGAGCUUAGCUCUGCAUGGAGCUGUGAGGUAUAGUCCCCUUCCACAAUGUUGGAGAGAAAGCUUUCCCUCCCUCCCAGCCCAAAAGGCUGGUGCGCGGGGAAUCGUCCUGUAUAUUCCUAUAACUUGUCAGCGUUUAUCAUCACUGAUAAGACAAACCAUGCAGGACACAUUU